AGUGAACGUUGGCGGCGUGGAUUAGGCAUGCAAGUCGUGCGGAAGUGGGCUCGCAAGGGCUUACUUUAGCGGCGUAAGGGAUAGUAACACGUGGGUAACCUACCCCCGGGACUGGGAUAGCUGCGGGAAACUGCAGGUAAUACCGGAUAACGUCCCCGGACCAAAGGUGUGAUUCCGCCUGGGGAGGGGCCCGCGUCCUAUUAGCUAGUUGGCAGGGUGAUAGCCUACCAAGGCUAAGAUGGGUAGCGGGUGUGAGAGCAUGACCCGCAUCACUGGGACUGAGACACUGCCCAGACACCUACGGGUGGCAG
RNAcentral lists this ribosomal RNA (311 nucleotides) under uncultured Planctomycetota bacterium. Its description in RNAcentral is "bacterial SSU rRNA". It matches the Rfam family "Bacterial small subunit ribosomal RNA", at positions 29 to 351 of the family's 1533-position model. Lineage: Bacteria; Pseudomonadati; Planctomycetota. The record is from RNAcentral.